This is a long non-coding RNA of Globicephala melas (long-finned pilot whale), 958 nucleotides long. RefSeq lists it as uncharacterized. Lineage: Eukaryota; Metazoa; Chordata; Mammalia; Artiodactyla; Delphinidae. The record is from RefSeq and is a predicted model, not a curated record.
AAUUUCAACUCCUAUUUUAACUUAUAUUUUCAGAGAAGGUAUUUGGUCCAAAUGAAGAAUAUCUUCAAUUAUAGUUCUUCUAUUGCAAGCAAAAAAGGAUUUAUACUUCUUUUCAUGAAAUACGGUUGUUUGACAACAGAAGGAUAAAUAUUUUAUAUUUUUAGAAACAACAGUCAGGCUACUGAUAUUCUUAAUGAGUUUUAAUAAAUCUGAAUGCUUCUUAUCAUCUACUCUUUAGCUGGUACCUGAGGAGUUGUAUACCUCCGGGAAGAUAUGUGCUCCAGACCCGUAAAUAUGCAGUUCACAGAGCCCAGCACCAGAGGACAAUAAUGAAGUAAACUCUUGAAACCAUGUAGUGAAAAUAGUGGGAGUUUAAAUAAAAGCAACAUUUCACAGUAUGCUUUUCUGACCAAUCUUAUAUCUAAUAACCUAAUGGAUUAUAUGUACACGGAUUCUGAAAAGUCAGCAGCACACUUCACUGGUCAAUUUCUAUGAUAAGGGGAACGGAAUUUGAGUGUAGAAAAACAGUAUACUUACAUCUUAAAAUUCCACCCCUACAGAAUCUACUCACUAUUGAAAACUGAGACAGAAACACACAGAGACAAUUCCAUGUGACAACAGUGAAAGAGACCAGAGUGAUGCAGCUGCAAAUCAAACAACUGCCAACACCAGUGAUUGAUGGCCACCACCAGAAUCUGGUUAAGACAAAGAAGGAUCCUCCCCUUGAGGCGUCAGAAAGAACAUGGCCCUCUCAACACUUUGAGUUUGAACUUCUGGCCUCUAGAGCUGUGAUAAAAUAAAUUUCUGUUCUUUUAAGCUAACAAGUUUGUGGUAUCUUGUUAUGGUAGCCCUAGAGAUGACAGUAUUUGAUUCCUGAGCUGGCAACUGUAUUUUGACUAUGUAAUGACUAUUCCAAGAUAAUCAACAGACACAAAGAUAAAGGCAAAACUGAGACUAA